UGUUAGCCUUUGCCAAUACCACUGAUGGCGACCGGCGGCACGGGUGCGUAACGCGUAUGUAACUUAGCCUUAUGCAGGAGGAAUAACCCGGAGAAAUUCGGCCUAAUACUCCACUAGGUAUAUUUUCGGCAUCGGAGAUAUAUGAAAGAUUUAUCGGUAUAAGAUGGACAUGCGUGACAUUAGCUAGAUGGUGAGGUAACGGCUCACCAUGGCGACGAUGUCUAGGGGUUCUGAGAGGAAGGUCCCCCACACUGGUACUGAGACACGAUCCAGACUCCUACGGGAGGCAGCAGUGAGGAAUAUUGGUGCAAUGGACGGAAGUCUGAACCAGCCAUGCCGCGUGCAGGACGACGGCUCUAUGAGUUGUAAACUGCUUUUGUACGAGAAUAACGGUAUCUACGUGUAGGUAAUUGAAUGUAUCGUACGAAUAAGGAUCGGCUGAACUCCGUG
This 450-nucleotide ribosomal RNA is filed under the name uncultured Shigella sp. RNAcentral's name for it is "bacterial SSU rRNA". It matches the Rfam family "Bacterial small subunit ribosomal RNA", at positions 61 to 507 of the family's 1533-position model. The record is from RNAcentral. Lineage: Bacteria; Pseudomonadati; Pseudomonadota; Gammaproteobacteria; Enterobacterales; Enterobacteriaceae.